UACAGAGGUCUCAACCGUUGUUCGGAUUCAUUGGGCGUAAAGGGUGCGUAGGCGGUCGGGUAAGUCGGAUGUGAAAUCUCAGGGCUCAACCCUGAAACUGCAUUCGAUACUGCUUGGCUAGGGUACUGGAGAGGAGACUGGAAUUUACGGUGUAGCAGUGAAAUGCGUAGAUAUCGUAAGGAAGACCAGUGGCGAAGGCGAGUCUCUGGACAGUUACCGACGGUGAGGCACGAAGGUCAGGGGAGCAAACGGG
Molecule: ribosomal RNA, 253 nt
Filed under: uncultured bacterium
Lineage: Bacteria
Description: partial 16S ribosomal RNA
Rfam family: Bacterial small subunit ribosomal RNA
Source: RNAcentral